AGAGUUUGAUCCUGGCUCAGGACGAACGCUGGCGGCGUGCUUAACACAUGCAAGUCGAACGAAGAGCGAUGGAAGCUUGCUUCUAUCAAUCUUAGUGGCGAACGGGUGAGUAACGCGUAAUCAACCUGCCCUUCAGAGGGGGACAACAGUUGGAAACGACUGCUAAUACCGCAUACGAUCUAACCUCGGCAUCGAGGAAGGAUGAAAGGUGGCCUCUAUUUAUAAGCUAUCACUGAAGGAGGGGAUUGCGUCUGAUUAGCUAGUUGGAGGGGUAACGGCCCACCAAGGCGAUGAUCAGUAGCCGGUCUGAGAGGAUGAACGGCCACAUUGGGACUGAGACACGGCCCAGACUCCUACGGGAGGCAGCAGUGGGGAAUCUUCCGCAAUGGACGAAAGUCUGACGGAGCAACGCCGCGUGAGUGAUGACGGCCUUCGGGUUGUAAAGCUCUGUUAAUCGGGACGAAAGGCCUUCUUGCGAACAGUUAGAAGGAUUGACGGUACCGGAAUAGAAAGCCACGGCUAACUACGUGCCAGCAGCCGCGGU
Molecule: ribosomal RNA, 544 nt
Filed under: Veillonella sp. oral clone BP2-38
Lineage: Bacteria; Bacillati; Bacillota; Negativicutes; Veillonellales; Veillonellaceae
Description: bacterial SSU rRNA
Rfam family: Bacterial small subunit ribosomal RNA
Source: RNAcentral